GGGAAUUUUUUCCGCCAUUAGUCAAAAUUACUCCUUCGUUGACUGGCCUAUAUGUGCUGCUCACACCCUCAAUCUUAUUGCAACAGUAGAUUGUUUAGAAGCACUUAAUGAUGGAAACUAUAAAAGACUUAGUAGACGUGUUUUUUCUUUGUGUUAUGCGUUGUUUAAUAAACAAAAUCAGUCCAAACAAUGUGCAGACCAAAUAAAAGAGACUCUUGGUCUUUAUCUUAUUGUACCAAAUGCAACUAGGUGGAACUCUUUUUAUGAUGCUAUGAAUGUUAUAGCUAAUAAUCUUAAUAAACUUAAUGAAAUAUGUGUCAAACUACAAUUACCUCUUUUUUCAAAUGUACAAGACUGAUUUUUUAAUUGAAUACUGUAAGGUUAUGAAACCAAUUGCACGAGGUUUAGAUAUUUUGCAAGGGGAAAACAAAAUUUGUAUUGGUUAUUUAUUAUCUACCAUUAGUGCAAUAAAUAAAUGCUAUGAAGAAUUAACAAAUCUUAAAUUUUGUUAACCUCUUGUUCAAAGCUUAAAAAAGGGACUUGACAAAAGGUA
This is a long non-coding RNA of Daktulosphaira vitifoliae (grape phylloxera), 553 nucleotides long. RefSeq lists it as uncharacterized. The transcript is spliced from 3 exons. The record is from RefSeq and is a predicted model, not a curated record. NCBI's taxonomy places the organism in Eukaryota, Metazoa, Arthropoda, Insecta, Hemiptera, Phylloxeridae.